This 1024-nucleotide ribosomal RNA is filed under the name Triticum aestivum (bread wheat). RNAcentral's name for it is "partial small subunit ribosomal RNA". The record is from RNAcentral. Lineage: Eukaryota; Viridiplantae; Streptophyta; Magnoliopsida; Poales; Poaceae.
GCUUUCCAACCUGCCUGUAGCGGGCUGCCACUCCACUCGGCACCUGGUCUUAGGUGCAAGGGCAGACUAGGUACCGAGUCCUUCAAGCGAAAGGUAGGUCACCUAGGUCUGGGCUCUACUUACGUCCCUGCUCUCACAAGAACCGAUCCCGCACCAAGUCAACCUUCAACGCCUGAUGAUCUAUCUCCGUUCCUCACGGCCGCUGGUCUGUGGUACCCUAAAGACUAUGUCGAUUAGCCGUCUAGGUCACACCCCUUUUAAGACCCCACCCCCUAAUCCUCCACCUGGACGUCCGCCUCGCGCUCCGUCGGCCGCUACCUGUCGCCGCCGCCUGUUUAUAACAAGCGCGUGCUUCGACGCCGGUUGUCUUCCCUCUCGAACGGCGAUACAGCCUCGACAGUUGCCCCUUCUACUUAGGGGUUCGUGACCCCACCUUGUUUUCCGAAUCCUAACCACGACGGCGUGGAUCGUCUUGUGGUAAUCACGCCGACCUAUCUCAUUAACAUCCCGAGCAAAGGAAAGACCUCGAGGACCUUGACCUUUUAACGAAAAUGGCAAUCACGCCGUACUAUCUCAAUAACAUCCUGAGUAAAGGAGAGACCUCGAGGACCUUCAAAGUUAACACUUUAUCUCCUGGAACAUCUUCGCUUCGGCCCCCAUCCUCUGCUGCGAUAACUACCUAAAGAAUUACGUCGGAUAGUUAUCUAAGGUACACGAAAGUCUCCACCUCCUGUUACUUCGUAGGUACCUAGACGCUGGGAUGUGCCACCGAUGAAACCACCCCCUCGACCUUGUUCGCAGUCACGGGCAAUUCGAAUCUAGAUCCUACUUCUUCCUUCUUGAAUUCGGUCCACAGGUUCGUCAGCUGGCCGUUCUACUUGGACGUUCGGGCCCCACCUGAUCCUCUCCCUGCAGUUUAAGUAUAGUGACAAGUACGCGGUAGGCUGCCGUCGUUCGUUUCGCGUACCUGUGUGUCGCAACAGCCGAAUCUUGCCACUACGACGGGUCAGGCUGCGCAACCACU